UUAUUCGACCAUGCUGGUCAUUUAUGAACAUUUGAACAUCUUGGCCAUGUUCUGUUAUAAUCUCCACCCGGCACAGCCAGAAGAGGACUGGCCACCCCACAUAGCCUGGUUCCUCUCUAGGUUUCUUCCUAGGUUUUGGCCUUUCUAGGGAGUUUUUCCUAGCCACCGUGCUUCUACACCUGCAUUGCUUGCUGUUUGGGGUUUUAGGCUGGGUUUCUGUACAGCACUUUGAGAUAUCAGCUGAUGUACGAAGGGCUAUAUAAAUACAUUUGAUUUGAUUUGAUAUUCACACAGCUACUCACGGUUCACUGAAUAACUGUUCCCUGAUAUUCACACAGCUACUCAAUGUUCCCUGAUAUUCACACAGCUACUCAAUGUUCCCUGAUAUUCACACAGCUACACAUGUUCCCUGAUAUUCACACAGCUACUCACUGUUCCCUGAUAUUCACACAGCUACUCACUGUUCCCUGAUAUUCACACAGCUACACAAUGUUCCCUGAUAUUCACACUGUUCCCUGAUAUUCACACAGCUACUAAUACAACACAUUGAAUUAACUACACCCUGUUCACUAUAAUAGAAUACUGCAUUUUCCUUUCUUCAGGGGCCAAUCAGAUGUGUCUAAACCUACUGCCAAGUUACCAGGUUGACUGAACAACGUUGUCAUCAAACCAAUAAUUAGUGGGCCGGGAUCAGUUUAAAAACGGCCCGCGACACGGUUUGUGAAAUUAUAUCAAAAUGCGCGAAAUCAAGCAGGAAGAGAGAAAAGUUGGGUCAGGUUUGUUUAACCGUCGUGAAGUGGUUUUUCCUCUCUGGCAUUGCUGCAUGACAGCGAACUAGCAGAGCCAAUCAGACUGGCCUUGUGCUCCUGGUUAUACCAGGGAUGAAAUGAUAUCCAAUGCAUUAACUUUGCUCUGCUCCAAUGAGUCAAAUGUAACAUCAGAAGACCCAUCAGGGACUGAACCCUCCCUCUCCAUCACAGAUAAACUAUAUGUAAAACUGAUGGGGAAAUAGAUACACAGGAAGUGCUGACAGAGAAGCAGGUGAGUGAUGGCUGGAAGGAGAAGCAGGUGAGUGAUGGCUGGGAGGAGACGCAGCUGACAGAGAGAAGCAGGUGAGUGAUGGCUGGAAGGAGAAGCAGGUGAGUGAUGGCUGGAAGGAGAAGCAGCUGACAGAGAGAAGCAGGUGAGUGAUGGCUGGAAGGAGACGCAGCUGACAGAGAGAAGCAGGUGAGUGAUGGCU
Long non-coding RNA from Oncorhynchus tshawytscha (Chinook salmon), 1240 nucleotides. NCBI's taxonomy places the organism in Eukaryota, Metazoa, Chordata, Actinopteri, Salmoniformes, Salmonidae. The record is from Ensembl.